RNAcentral lists this ribosomal RNA (403 nucleotides) under Fusobacteriota bacterium. RNAcentral describes it as "Fusobacteria bacterium partial 16S ribosomal RNA". It matches the Rfam family "Bacterial small subunit ribosomal RNA", at positions 355 to 776 of the family's 1533-position model. The record is from RNAcentral. Lineage: Bacteria; Fusobacteriati; Fusobacteriota.
UGGGGAAUCUUGCACAAUGGGGGCAACCCUGAUGCAGCGACGCCGCGUUAGCGAUGAAGGUUUUCGAAUCGUAAAGCUCUGUCCUAUGGGAAGAUAAUGACGGUACCAUAGGAGGAAGCCCCGGCUAACUACGUGCCAGCAGCCGCGGUAAUACGUAGGGGGCGAGCGUUGUCCGGAAUUACUGGGCGUAAAGGGUUCGCAGGCGGCAUGGCAAGUCCGAUGUAAAAGGCGAAGGCUCAACCUUCGUAAGCAUCGGAAACUGUGAAGCUUGAGUGAAGGAGAGGCAAGUGGAAUUCCUAGUGUAGCGGUGGAAUGCGUAGAUAUUAGGAGGAAUACCGGUGGCGAAGGCGACUUGCUGGACUUCAACUGACGCUGAGGAACGAAAGCGUGGGUAGCAAACAGG